GACGAACCGUGCGAACGUUAUUCGGAAUCACUGGGCUUAAAGGGCGCGUAGGCGGGUUCUCAAGUCAGGGGUGAAAUCCCGCGGCUCAACCGUGGAAGUGCCUUUGAUACUGGGGACCUCGAGGGAGGUAGGGGCGUGCGGAACUUCCGGUGGAGCGGUGAAAUGCGCAGAUAUCAGGAGGAACACCAAUGGCGAAGGCAGCUCGCUGGAACGGUACUGACGCUGAGGCGCGAAAGCGUGGGGAGCGAACAGG
Molecule: ribosomal RNA, 253 nt
Filed under: uncultured bacterium
Lineage: Bacteria
Description: partial 16S ribosomal RNA
Rfam family: Bacterial small subunit ribosomal RNA
Source: RNAcentral